RNAcentral lists this ribosomal RNA (253 nucleotides) under uncultured Pseudomonadaceae bacterium. RNAcentral's name for it is "partial 16S ribosomal RNA". It matches the Rfam family "Bacterial small subunit ribosomal RNA", at positions 524 to 776 of the family's 1533-position model. Lineage: Bacteria; Pseudomonadati; Pseudomonadota; Gammaproteobacteria; Pseudomonadales; Pseudomonadaceae. The record is from RNAcentral.
UACGUAGGGGGCAAGCGUUGUCCGGAAUUACUGGGCGUAAAGCGCGCGUAGGUGGUUUGUUAAGUUGGAAGUGAAAGCCCCGGGCUCAACCUGGGAACUGCUUUCAAAACUGGCAGGCUAGAGUAUGGCAGAGGGUGGUGGAAUUUCCUGUGUAGCGGUGAAAUGCGUAGAUAUAGGAAGGAACACCAGUGGCGAAGGCGACCACCUGGGCUAAUACUGACACUGAGGUGCGAAAGCGUGGGGAGCAAACAGG